GUCUACAGCCAUGCUACCCUGAACAAGCCCGAUCUCGUCUGAUCUUGGAAGCUAAGCAGGGUCGGGCCUGGUUAGUACUUGGAUAGGAGACCACCUAGGAAGACCAGGUGCUGUAGGUG
Molecule: ribosomal RNA, 119 nt
Filed under: Pteropus alecto (black flying fox)
Lineage: Eukaryota; Metazoa; Chordata; Mammalia; Chiroptera; Pteropodidae
Source: RNAcentral